RNAcentral lists this non-coding RNA (21 nucleotides) under Caenorhabditis elegans. Lineage: Eukaryota; Metazoa; Nematoda; Chromadorea; Rhabditida; Rhabditidae. The record is from RNAcentral.
UCUCAAUGAAGCACAACUUUG